UUAGACAAUAGAGUAUUUUGAAAUAAAACCCAAGAGCGAAAUUAACGUGACUGUUAAUGGGAUUAUAUUUAUCCAUUAUAUAUUACAUAUAUGGAUAAAUUUCCAUCCCGGGGCGAUUUAUAAUUAAAAUUGCAAAAUUUUAUGAAAUCGUACCUUGAGCAUACAUGGUAGGACCCGAAAGAUGGUGAACUAUCCCUGAUCAGGUUGAAGUCAGGGGAAACCCUGAUGGAGGACCGAAGCAGUUCUGACGUGCAAAUCGAUUGUCAGAAUUGGGUAUAGGGGCGAAAGACCAAUCGAACCAUCUAGUA
RNAcentral lists this ribosomal RNA (308 nucleotides) under Phlebotomus papatasi. RNAcentral describes it as "partial large subunit ribosomal RNA". It matches the Rfam family "Eukaryotic large subunit ribosomal RNA", at positions 678 to 949 of the family's 3401-position model. The record is from RNAcentral. Lineage: Eukaryota; Metazoa; Arthropoda; Insecta; Diptera; Psychodidae.